This 467-nucleotide ribosomal RNA is filed under the name uncultured bacterium. Its description in RNAcentral is "partial 16S ribosomal RNA". It matches the Rfam family "Bacterial small subunit ribosomal RNA", at positions 28 to 506 of the family's 1533-position model. The record is from RNAcentral.
GACGAACGCUGGCGGCGUGCUUAACACAUGCAAGUCGAACGAAAAGGCCCUGCUUUUGUGGGGUGCUCGAGUGGCGAACGGGUGAGUAACACGUGAGUAACCUGCCCUUGACUUUGGGAUAACUUCAGGAAACUGGGGCUAAUACCGGAUAGGAGCUCCUGCUGCAUGGUGGGGGUUGGAAAGUUUCGGCGGUUGGGGAUGGACUCGCGGCUUAUCAGCUUGUUGGUGGGGUAGUGGCUUACCAAGGCUUUGACGGGUAGCCGGCCUGAGAGGGUGACCGGCCACAUUGGGACUGAGAUACGGCCCAGACUCCUACGGGAGGCAGCAGUGGGGAAUAGUGCACAAUGGGCGGAAGCCUGAUGCAGCAACGCCGGGUGCGGGAUGACGGCCUUCGGGUUGUAAACCGCUUUCGCCUGUGACGAAGCGUGAGUGACGGUAAUGGGUAAAGAAGCACCGGCUAACUACGU